CUCCUUCUCUUAACCACCGUGUUUUUUGUUUGUUUCUCAGAAACACUAAGCAAUGGCAUGAAUGUGUGUGUGUGUGUAUGUGUGUGUGUGUAAGAUGGUAUUACAGAUUCAAUUCACUAAAUAGUUUCCUUAAAUAUUAAUUUUGAGUUUUUCAAGGAGAGAUCAGAAAGUAAUUUUCAAAAAUAGCAGCCCAGAUACAUGUCUUCUCUUUCCUUGCUUCCAAAAUUGCGAUAGUA
RNAcentral lists this long non-coding RNA (236 nucleotides) under Homo sapiens (human). RNAcentral describes it as "LHRI_LNC782.1". The record is from RNAcentral. Lineage: Eukaryota; Metazoa; Chordata; Mammalia; Primates; Hominidae.